This is a long non-coding RNA of Salvelinus namaycush (lake trout), 210 nucleotides long. RefSeq lists it as uncharacterized. The record is from RefSeq and is a predicted model, not a curated record. The transcript is spliced from 3 exons. Lineage: Eukaryota; Metazoa; Chordata; Actinopteri; Salmoniformes; Salmonidae.
CACAGAGGAACCAGCUGAGCAGCACAGGACCACACACAGUCUCACUGAGUCAGUAGACAUGGAGGAUGGGAAGCCUGAUCUGCUGCUGGUCAAAGAGGAGACAAUAGAAGAUGGACCAGAGAGCAUUGAUCUGCUGAGUGGAUUAAAGAUGAGGGAGCAAGGUGGUUGGCUGGAGGCUAACAGAGGAGACUGGUCGGCCAUCUUGGAUUC